This 253-nucleotide ribosomal RNA is filed under the name uncultured bacterium. RNAcentral describes it as "partial 16S ribosomal RNA". It matches the Rfam family "Bacterial small subunit ribosomal RNA", at positions 524 to 776 of the family's 1533-position model. The record is from RNAcentral.
GACGUAGGAUGCAAGCGUUGUCCGGAAUUAUUGGGCGUAAAGAGCUCGUAGGCGGCUUGUCGCGUCGACUGUGAAAACCCGCGGCUCAACCGCGGGCCUGCAUUCGAUACGGGCAGGCUAGAGUUCGGUAGGGGAGACUGGAAUUCCUGGUGUAGCGGUGAAAUGCGCAGAUAUCAGGAGGAACACCAGUGGCGAAGGCGGCUCACUGGCCCGGUACUGACGCUGAGGUGCGAAAGCGUGGGGAGCAAACAGG